GUCUACAGCCACACCACUUGAACAUGCCCAAUCUCUUCUGAUCUUGGAAGCUAAGCAGGGUUGGGCCUGCUUAGUACUUGGAUGGGAGAAAAAGUAAAUAAAAGGAAUAUAAAUAGGAAAGGAAGAAGCAGGUU
Molecule: ribosomal RNA, 134 nt
Filed under: Jaculus jaculus (lesser Egyptian jerboa)
Lineage: Eukaryota; Metazoa; Chordata; Mammalia; Rodentia; Dipodidae
Source: RNAcentral